UACGUAGGGUGCAAGCGUUGUCCGGAAUUAUUGGGCGUAAAGAGCUCGUAGGCGGUUUGUCACGUCUGCUGUGAAAACUCGGGGCUUAACUCCGGGCCUGCAGUGGGUACGGGCAGACUAGAGUGCGGUAGGGGAGACUGGAAUUCCUGGUGUAGCGGUGAAAUGCGCAGAUAUCGGGAGGAACACCGGUGGCGAAGGCGGUUCUCUGGGCCUGACCUGACGCUGAGGAGCGAAAGCGUGGGGAGCGAACAGG
Molecule: ribosomal RNA, 253 nt
Filed under: uncultured bacterium
Lineage: Bacteria
Description: partial 16S ribosomal RNA
Rfam family: Bacterial small subunit ribosomal RNA
Source: RNAcentral